GACGAACGCUGGCGGCGUGCCUAAUACAUGCAAGUCGAACGCUUUUUCUUUCACCGGAGCUUGCUCCACCGAAAGAAAAAGAGUGGCGAACGGGUGAGUAACACGUGGGUAACCUGCCCAUCAGAAGGGGAUAACACUUGGAAACAGGUGCUAAUACCGUAUAACACUAUUUUCCGCAUGGAAGAAAGUUGAAAGGCGCUUUUGCGUCACUGAUGGAUGGACCCGCGGUGCAUUAGCUAGUUGGUGAGGUAACGGCUCACCAAGGCAACGAUGCAUAGCCGACCUGAGAGGGUGAUCGGCCACACUGGGACUGAGACACGGCCCAGACUCCUACGGGAGGCAGCAGUAGGGAAUCUUCGGCAAUGGACGAAAGUCUGACCGAGCAACGCCGCGUGAGUGAAGAAGGUUUUCGGAUCGUAAAACUCUGUUGUUAGAGAAGGACAAGGAUGAGAGUA
Molecule: ribosomal RNA, 455 nt
Filed under: Enterococcus casseliflavus
Lineage: Bacteria; Bacillati; Bacillota; Bacilli; Lactobacillales; Enterococcaceae
Description: bacterial SSU rRNA
Rfam family: Bacterial small subunit ribosomal RNA
Source: RNAcentral